AUCCUGGAUAGGUCAGUUGGUUAGAGUGUGGUGCUGAUAAUGCCAAGGUCACAGAUCAGAUCCCUGUAUAGGACA
Podarcis lilfordi (Lilford's wall lizard) is the source of this 75-nucleotide non-coding RNA. The record is from the annotation of a GenBank genome assembly. Lineage: Eukaryota; Metazoa; Chordata; Lepidosauria; Squamata; Lacertidae.